Molecule: ribosomal RNA, 429 nt
Filed under: bacterium
Lineage: Bacteria
Description: partial 16S ribosomal RNA
Rfam family: Bacterial small subunit ribosomal RNA
Source: RNAcentral
UAGGGAAUCUUCGGCAAUGGGGGCAACCCUGACCGAGCAACGCCGCGUGAGUGAAGAAGGUUUUCGGAUCGUAAAGCUCUGUUGUAAGAGAAGAACGUGUGUGAGAGUGGAAAGUUCACACAGUGACGGUAACUUACCAGAAAGGGACGGCUAACUACGUGCCAGCAGCCGCGGUAAUACGUAGGUCCCGAGCGUUGUCCGGAUUUAUUGGGCGUAAAGCGAGCGCAGGCGGUUUAAUAAGUCUGAAGUUAACGGCAGUGGCUUAACCAUUGUUCGCUUUGGAAACUGUUAAACUUGAGUGCAGAAGGGGAGAGUGGAAUUCCAUGUGUAGCGGUGAAAUGCGUAGAUAUAUGGAGGAACACCGGUGGCGAAAGCGGCUCUCUGGUCUGUAACUGACGCUGAGGCUCGAAAGCGUGGGGAGCAAACAGG